AGAGGUGCAUUUUCACUCUUUAUUAAAAAAGAAAGACUUUAACUUUUUCUUUUUGCCUUUUGAGGCCCUUAGUAGGUUGGAGACAUGCAGCCCACAUAGCGCACACCUGCCCCACCCAAUUUACAGACGGAACCUGAAGCCGGGUGAGCUGCAGUGACCCUCUGCUCCUAUGCCAGAUUACUGAAUAAAGGAGUUGUGGUAUACAUACACAAUGAAAUACUACUCAGCCAUAAAAAAGAAUGAAGUAAUUCCAUUUGCAGCAACAUGGAUGGACCUAGAUAUGAUCAUACUAAGUGAAAGUGCACCUUGAUUUGUCAGGACUCAGAAAGGCUUCAUUGGUUUGGAGCCAAUGAAGAAAAGUCUCUUCAUAGCAGCACCGGAAGGAAAGUUAAGGCUGCAAGAGUUUGGUGAGAGGAUUGGAGCAGGCUGGGAACCCACUGCAAAAACAGAGACCGGGGGAGCUCAUGCGGUUACAUGUGCCAUCUGAAAUCGCCGAGAUCUGCAGACCCCAAAGAGUGGAAAGAAUUAACUUCACCCUAAGCCCAAAUGUUAUUACUCCUACCCCAUUCCCCAGGCUUAAGCAUCCUGCAAUUGGAAGCAUCCUAAAUCAGGAUUAAAGGCAAGUGUGUGUGUGUGGCCAGGCUGGACCUGAGCCCCUAAACGGAAGCUGGAGAUCAUCACCUGUAUCAGGAGAGCAGCACCCCCACCACCCGCCGAUGGGGGGUGCUUUGUCAUCCCUCUGGCCCAUCUGGCCACCCACCUGCCCCUGUGUUUCAGGACAAGAGACAGGUGGCCCUGCUCUCUCCCAGAGCCGGCCUGCUCCGCGCCAGGAGACCUGUGAGACUCUGGGCACGUUAAUUUUCCAUAGCUGGACAAGCCCCCGUGGCACCCCGUCUGGGCAAGAGGAAGUCCCCUGUAAACUGCAGGAUGCUCCCUAACAUAAGGUCUAAGGUCUUGCUGCUGCAGUCCAAGCUUUUACCACCAACAGAUGGGGCCACGGUCCCCAAUAGAUGCAGCCUUCUUCAUUCUACUGUUUCCAGCAUCCAUUUGAGAGUCUGAUAUUUGCAAAAACAGAGUGCAUUGUUGGGUAUGGGUGAAAAAGGAGCGAGGGGGAGCAAGGUGAAAUUGACAGUAUCUUGUGGGCAGGGCUGACUUUUGUGAGUAAGACAGGGAAGGAAGCCAAGGGGCUGGGGAGACCCGAUGGGAGCAGCAGGGCUGAAGCGGUAAACAGGUCUCUGCGUUGUGGCCCCUCUCCUGGACCCUCGGGGUGGCUGUGGGAGACCCUUCUAUUGGGGAGGGAUGCUGCCCAUGGGGUGGGUGCUGGGAGCCAGUGGACCUGGCCCCUGGACAGCUUCAUUUGUAGGUGGGGAGGCCACUGGGUCGUGAUCAUCCAGGAGCUAGAACAGACUUCUGUGAGCUUAAGGCUGUGGGCAAAGACCUAGCAGCCUGGAGAGAUGGUCAAGGUUCAAGGUCUAUAUUAAUUACUUAAUUGGUAAAUUCCUAAAUGGGAGGUGAUUUAUUGUGGGGUUUUUUGGGGAAAGGGUAAUUACGUUUAUUUUUAAUGGAGGCACUGGGCAUUGAACCCAGGAGCCUCGUGCAUGCCAAGCACGCGCUCUGCCACUUGAGCUGUACCCUCUGUGCCGUACGUUCCAAAACGAUACUGUACUGUUAUCUCUGGGGGAUGGGGUUGCUGG
Camelus dromedarius (Arabian camel) is the source of this 1694-nucleotide long non-coding RNA. RefSeq lists it as uncharacterized. The record is from RefSeq and is a predicted model, not a curated record. NCBI's taxonomy places the organism in Eukaryota, Metazoa, Chordata, Mammalia, Artiodactyla, Camelidae. The transcript is spliced from 3 exons.